GUGCCAGCCGCCGCGGUAAGACGAACCGUCCAAACGUUAUUCGGAAUCACUGGGCUUAAAGGGUGCGUAGGCGGUCCGGUAAGUUGGGUGUGAAAGCCCUCGGCUCAACCGAGGAAUUGCGCCCAAAACUGUCGGACUCGAGGAAGAUAGAGGUGAGCGGAACUUAGGGUGGAGCGGUGAAAUGCGUUGAUAUCCUAAGGAACACCAGUAGCGAAAGCGGCUCACUAGGUCUUUUCUGACGCUGAGGCACGAAAGCUAGGGGAGCGAACGGGAUUAGAUACCCCGGUAGUCCUAGCCCUAAACGAUGAGCACUGGUUUGGAGGGCCCUCCAUAGCCCUCCAGACGAAGCGAAAGUGUUAAGUGCUCCGCCUGGGGAGUAUGGUCGCAAGGCUGAA
This 395-nucleotide ribosomal RNA is filed under the name uncultured bacterium. Its description in RNAcentral is "bacterial SSU rRNA". It matches the Rfam family "Bacterial small subunit ribosomal RNA", at positions 505 to 898 of the family's 1533-position model. The record is from RNAcentral.